This 471-nucleotide ribosomal RNA is filed under the name uncultured bacterium. Its description in RNAcentral is "partial 16S ribosomal RNA". It matches the Rfam family "Bacterial small subunit ribosomal RNA", at positions 28 to 507 of the family's 1533-position model. The record is from RNAcentral.
GACGAACGCUGGCGGCGUGCUUAACACAUGCAAGUCGAACGAUGAAGCCUAGCUUGCUAGGUGGAUUAGUGGCGAACGGGUGAGUAAUACGUGAGUAACCUACCUUUAACUCUGGGAUAAGCCUGGGAAACUGGGCCUAAUACCGGAUACGACCAAUCUCCGCAUGGGGUGUUGGUGGAAAGCGUUAUGUAGUGGCUAUAGAUGGGCUCACGGCCUAUCAGCUUGUUGGUGAGGUAACGGCUCACCAAGGCGACGACGGGUAGCCGGCCUGAGAGGGUGACCGGCCACACUGGGACUGAGACACGGCCCAGACUCCUACGGGAGGCAGCAGUGGGGAAUAUUGCACAAUGGGCGCAAGCCUGAUGCAGCGACGCCGCGUGAGGGAUGACGGCCUUCGGGUUGUAAACCUCUGUUAGCAGGGAAGAAGAGAAAUUGACGGUACCUGCAGAGAAAGCGCCGGCUAACUACGUG